RNAcentral lists this ribosomal RNA (255 nucleotides) under uncultured bacterium. RNAcentral describes it as "partial 16S ribosomal RNA". It matches the Rfam family "Bacterial small subunit ribosomal RNA", at positions 15 to 257 of the family's 1533-position model. The record is from RNAcentral.
GAUCCUUUGGCUCAGGAUGAACGCUAGCUACAGGCUUAACACAUGCAAGUCGAGGGGCAGCAUGGACCCAGCUUUGCUGGGUUUGAUGGCGACCGGCGCACGGGUGAGUAACGCGUAUCCAACCUGCCCUUUACUCCGGGAUAGUCUCCUGAAAGGGAGUUUAAUACCGGAUGUGUUUGUCUUUCCGCAUGGGAGCGACAAAUAAAGAUUAAUUGGUAAAGGAUGGGGAUGCGUCCCAUUAGCUUGUUGGCGGGG